GACGAACGCUGGCGGCGUGCCUAAUACAUGCAAGUUGAGCGCUGAAGGUUGGUACUUGUACCAACUGGAUGAGCAGCGAACGGGUGAGUAACGCGUGGGGAAUCUGCCUUUGAGCGGGGGACAACAUUUGGAAACGAAUGCUAAUACCGCAUAAAAACUUUAAACACAAGUUUUAAGUUUGAAAGAUGCAAUUGCAUCACUCAAAGAUGAUCCCGCGUUGUAUUAGCUAGUUGGUGAGGUAAAGGCUCGCCAAGGCGAUGAUACAUAGCCGACCUGAGAGGGUGAUCGGCCACAUUGGGACUGAGACACGGCCCAAACUCCUACGGGAGGCAGCAGUAGGGAAUCUUCGGCAAUGGACGAAAGUCUGACCGAGCAACGCCGCGUGAGUGAAGAAGGUUUUCGGAUCGUAAAACUCUGUUGGUAGAGAAGAACGUUGGUGAGAGUGGAAAGCUCAUCAAGUGACGGUAACUACCCAGAAAGGGACGGCUAACUACGU
Molecule: ribosomal RNA, 496 nt
Filed under: uncultured bacterium
Lineage: Bacteria
Description: partial 16S ribosomal RNA
Rfam family: Bacterial small subunit ribosomal RNA
Source: RNAcentral